Molecule: unclassified non-coding RNA, 305 nt
Filed under: Hevea brasiliensis (rubber tree)
Lineage: Eukaryota; Viridiplantae; Streptophyta; Magnoliopsida; Malpighiales; Euphorbiaceae
Source: RNAcentral
GAGGCGGCGGCAGAGGAGGCGGCGGCUACCAAAAUGGGCGCAGCCAAUAUUAUGAGCAGUCUGGAAACUAUUAUCCGAGGAAUUACUAUAAUAAUCGAGGAAGGGGUGGCAGGGGUGGUGGUGGGCACCCUUAUAAUAACCAUGGCUCAGCAGUUCAGGGUGGUCAUGGCCCAGUUGAUGUUGGGGUGGCCUCAUGACGUCAUUACUUAUUGGGUGUUUAUAGGGUGUCGUGUUACUAGUUUUCUAGGUGGGUAGUGAAAAUGUUCUCUCUCCCCUCUUUUUGGCAUGAGAAACUUGUCAUGAAU